This 465-nucleotide ribosomal RNA is filed under the name uncultured bacterium. RNAcentral describes it as "partial 16S ribosomal RNA". It matches the Rfam family "Bacterial small subunit ribosomal RNA", at positions 28 to 507 of the family's 1533-position model. The record is from RNAcentral.
GACGAACGCUGGCGGCGUGCUUAACACAUGCAAGUCGAACGGAAAGGCCCCUUUGGGGGUACUCGAGUGGCGAACGGGUGAGUAACACGUGAGUAACCUGCCCUUGACUUCGGGAUAACUUCAGGAAACUGGGGCUAAUACCGGAUAGGAAUCCUUGCUGCAUGGUGGGGGUUGGAAAGCUUCGGCGGUUUUGGAUGGACUCGCGGCUUAUCAGCUUGUUGGUGGGGUAGUGGCUUACCAAGGCUUUGACGGGUAGCCGGCCUGAGAGGGCGACCGGCCACAUUGGGACUGAGAUACGGCCCAGACUCCUACGGGAGGCAGCAGUGGGGAAUAUUGCACAAUGGGCGGAAGCCUGAUGCAGCAACGCCGCGUGCGGGAUGACGGCCUGCGGGUUGUAAACCGCUUUCAGCAGGGGCGAAGCUUGUGGUGACGGUACCUGCAGAAGAAGCACCGGCUAACUACGUG